This 442-nucleotide ribosomal RNA is filed under the name uncultured bacterium. Its description in RNAcentral is "bacterial SSU rRNA". It matches the Rfam family "Bacterial small subunit ribosomal RNA", at positions 337 to 796 of the family's 1533-position model. The record is from RNAcentral.
UCCUACGGGAGGCAGCAGUAGGGAAUAUUGCACAAUGGAGGAAACUCUGAUGCAGCCAUGCCGCGUGUGUGAAGAAGGCCUUCGGGUUGUAAAGCACUUUCGGAGGGGAGGAGAAUGACGUUACCCUCAGAAGAAGCACCGGCUAACUCCGUGCCAGCAGCCGCGGUAAUACGGAGGGUGCAAGCGUUAAUCGGAAUAACUGGGCGUAAAGGGCAUGCAGGCGGUUAAACAAGUAGGAUGUGAAGUCCCCGGGCUCAACCUGGGAGCUGCAUACUAAACUGUUUAACUAGAGUAUUGCAGGGGGAGACGGAAUUCCAGGUGUAGCGGUGGAAUGCGUAGAUAUCCGGAAGAACACCAAAGGCGAAGGCAGUCUCCUGGGCAAAUACUAACGCUCAUAUGCGAAAGCGUGGGUAGCAAACAGGAUUAGAUACCCUGGUAGUCC